RNAcentral lists this ribosomal RNA (489 nucleotides) under uncultured bacterium. RNAcentral describes it as "bacterial SSU rRNA". It matches the Rfam family "Bacterial small subunit ribosomal RNA", at positions 501 to 991 of the family's 1533-position model. The record is from RNAcentral.
CUACGUGCCAGCAGCCGCGGUAAUACGUAGGGGGCAAGCGUUAUCCGGAUUUACUGGGUGUAAAGGGAGCGUAGACGGAGUGGCAAGUCUGAAGUGAAAACCCUGGGCUUAACCUAGGGACUGCUUUGGAAACUGUUAAUCUAGAGUGUUGGAGAGGUAAGUGGAAUUCCUGGUGUAGCGGUGAAAUGCGUAGAUAUCAGGAAGAACACCGGAGGCGAAGGCGGCUUACUGGACAAUAACUGACGUUGAGGCUCGAAAGCGUGGGGAUCAAACAGGAUUAGAUACCCUGGUAGUCCUAGCUGUAAACGAUGAUUACUGGGUGUGGGCAUGAAGAGUGUCCGUGCCGAAGCUAAUGCGAUAAGUAAUCCGCCUGGGGAGUACGGCCGCAAGGCUGAAACUCAAAGGAAUUGACGGGGACCCGCACAAGCGGUGGAGCAUGUGGUUUAAUUCGACGCAACGCGAGGAACCUUACCAGAUCUUGACAUCCUG